GUGCUUGCUUUGGCAGCACAUAUACAAAAAUUGGAACAAUACGGAGAGGAUUAGCAUGACCCCUGUGCAAGAAUGGCACACAAAUUCAUGAAGCGUUCCAUAUUUUU
This is a small nuclear RNA of Suricata suricatta (meerkat), 107 nucleotides long. Lineage: Eukaryota; Metazoa; Chordata; Mammalia; Carnivora; Herpestidae. The record is from Ensembl.